RNAcentral lists this ribosomal RNA (1442 nucleotides) under uncultured organism. RNAcentral's name for it is "SSU rRNA". It matches the Rfam family "Bacterial small subunit ribosomal RNA". The record is from RNAcentral.
CGCUAGCGACAGGCUUAACACAUGCAAGUCGGGGGGCAGCACAGGUAGCAAUACCGGGUGGCGACCGGCGCACGGGUGAGUAACGCGUAUGCAACUUGCCUAUCAGAGGGGGAUAACCCGGCGAAAGUCGGACUAAUACCGCAUGAAGCAGGGAUCCCGCAUGGGAAUAUUUGCUAAAGAUUCAUCGCUGAUAGAUAGGCAUGCGUUCCAUUAGGCAGUUGGCGGGGUAACGGCCCACCAAACCGACGAUGGAUAGGGGUUCUGAGAGGAAGGUCCCCCACAUUGGUACUGAGACACGGACCAAACUCCUACGGGAGGCAGCAGUGAGGAAUAUUGGUCAAUGGCCGAGAGGCUGAACCAGCCAAGUCGCGUGAGGGAUGAAGGUUCUAUGGAUCGUAAACCUCUUUUAUAAGGGAAUAAAGUGCGGGACGUGUCCCGUUUUGUAUGUACCUUAUGAAUAAGGAUCGGCUAACUCCGUGCCAGCAGCCGCGGUAAUACGGAGGAUCCGAGCGUUAUCCGGAUUUAUUGGGUUUAAAGGGUGCGUAGGCGGCCUUUUAAGUCAGCGGUGAAAGUCUGUGGCUCAACCAUAGAAUUGCCGUUGAAACUGGGGGGCUUGAGUAUGUUUGAGGCAGGCGGAAUGCGUGGUGUAGCGGUGAAAUGCAUAGAUAUCACGCAGAACCCCGAUUGCGAAGGCAGCCUGCCAAGCCAUGACUGACGCUGAUGCGCGAAAGCGUGGGGAUCAAACAGGAUUAGAUACCCUGGUAGUCCACGCAGUAAACGAUGAUCACUAGCUGUUUGCGAUACACUGUAAGCGGCACAGCGAAAGCGUUAAGUGAUCCACCUGGGGAGUACGCCGGCAACGGUGAAACUCAAAGGAAUUGACGGGGGCCCGCACAAGCGGAGGAACAUGUGGUUUAAUUCGAUGAUACGCGAGGAACCUUACCCGGGUUUGAACGCAUUCGGACCGAGGUGGAAACACCUUUUCUAGCAAUAGCCGUUUGCGAGGUGCUGCAUGGUUGUCGUCAGCUCGUGCCGUGAGGUGUCGGCUUAAGUGCCAUAACGAGCGCAACCCUUGCCACUAGUUACUAACAGGUAAAGCUGAGGACUCUGGUGGGACUGCCAGCGUAAGCUGCGAGGAAGGCGGGGAUGACGUCAAAUCAGCACGGCCCUUACAUCCGGGGCGACACACGUGUUACAAUGGCGUGGACAAAGGGAGGCCACCUGGUGACAGGGAGCGAAUCCCCAAACCACGUCUCAGUUCGGAUCGGAGUCUGCAACCCGACUCCGUGAAGCUGGAUUCGCUAGUAAUCGCGCAUCAGCCAUGGCGCGGUGAAUACGUUCCCGGGCCUUGUACACACCGCCCGUCAAGCCAUGGGAGCCGGGGGUACCUGAAGUCCGUAACCGCGAGGAUCGGCCUAGGGUAAAACUGGUGACUGGGGCUA